RNA transcript from Saccostrea cuccullata (small rock oyster), 724 nucleotides. It is a transcript of the gene named galactose-specific lectin nattectin-like, with no coding region annotated. NCBI's taxonomy places the organism in Eukaryota, Metazoa, Mollusca, Bivalvia, Ostreida, Ostreidae. The record is from RefSeq and is a predicted model, not a curated record. The transcript is spliced from 6 exons.
UAUGGUGCAUCACCAAUCUUUGAACUUUGAAACGUUUAAAACUAAACAAGAAACAGCAAAAUGUAAAUGUUCAGAACGACUUCAAUUAUAAACGGUUAUGGCUGAAAUAUUGGCUGUCAUUUUCCUCUUGUCACAGCUACAAAUAAGUGUCUCCCAAAGUCUGGAUACGAGAAUCGGCGAUGGUAAAUGUGCACAGGGUGGAUUGGAAGAUUCUAUGCUGUCAUUAAAAAUGUAUAUAGACUCCCAACUACAAGAGUUGGAGCAAAAAGUGAAAAAAAGAACACAGAGAGAGAUUGCAAAAUCUUCAAACACAGAUAAACAACUUAAAAGAUUGUCCGAAAGGAUGGGAUAAGCAUGGGACUUCGUGCUACAUGCUAAACACACAGAAGUUUUCAUGGGAACAGGCAAAUGCUAAAUGUCGUGGAUUUUCAGCUAUGUUGGUUGAAAUAGAUACAAUGCCCGAGAACGUCUUCGUGGCAAACACCUUAAAAAAUAAAGAUCCCAGUGGCCGUGCCUGGUUGGGUGGUACGGAUAAAACACAGGAAAACACCUGGAUUUGGAAACACUCAGGGUUACCAUUGCGAUUCACAAACUGGAACAAGGGGGAACCUAAUGAUGAUAAAGAAAACGAAGAUUGCAUGGAAAUACUUUCCCGAAAUGGCAUGUGGAAUGAUAUGCCGUGUUCUUAUUUGUCUAUGUUUGUCUGUGAAAAAGAAUUUUAAUA